RNAcentral lists this ribosomal RNA (843 nucleotides) under uncultured Bacillota bacterium. RNAcentral's name for it is "bacterial SSU rRNA". It matches the Rfam family "Bacterial small subunit ribosomal RNA", at positions 1 to 877 of the family's 1533-position model. The record is from RNAcentral. Lineage: Bacteria; Bacillati; Bacillota.
GCCAUAGAGUUUGAUCUGGCUCAGGAUGAACGCUGGCGGCGUGCCUAACACAUGCAAGUCGAGCGAUCUCUUCGGAAGAGAGCGGCGGACGGGUGAGUAACGCGUGGGUAACCUGCCCUAUACACACGGAUAACAUACCGAAAGGUAUGCUAAUACGAGAUAAUAUAAGAAAUUCACAUGUUUUUCUUAUCAAAGCUGAGGCGGUAUAGGAUGGACCCGCGUCUGAUUAGCUAGUUGGUAAGGUAAUGGCUUACCAAGGCGACGAUCAGUAGCCGACCUGAGAGGGUGAUCGGCCACAUUGGAACUGAGACACGGUCCAAACUCCUACGGGAGGCAGCAGUGGGGAAUAUUGCACAAUGGGCGAAAGCCUGAUGCAGCAACGCCGCGUGAGCGAUGAAGGCCUUCGGGUCGUAAAGCUCUGUCCUCAAGGAAGAUAAUGACGGUACUUGAGGAGGAAGCCCCGGCUAACUACGUGCCAGCAGCCGCGGUAAUACGUAGGGGGCUAGCGUUAUCCGGAUUUACUGGGCGUAAAGGGUGCGUAGGUGGUUUCUUAAGUCAGGAGUGAAAGGCUACGGCUCAACCGUAGUAAGCUCUUGAAACUGGGAAACUUGAGUGCAGGAGAGGAAAGUGGAAUUCCUAGUGUAGCGGUGAAAUGCGUAGAUAUUAGGAGGAACACCAGUAGCGAAGGCGGCUUUCUGGACUGUAACUGACACUGAGGCACGAAAGCGUGGGGAGCAAACAGGAUUAGAUACCCUGGUAGUCCACGCCGUAAACGAUGAGUACUAGGUGUCGGGGGUUACCCCCCUCGGUGCCGCAGCUAACGCAUUAAGUACUCCGCCUGGG